GGGCGGUUUCCGGGAUUAUUGGGCGUAAAGAGCUCGUAGGCGGUUUGUCGCGUCUGCCGUGAAAGUCCGGGGCUCAACUCCGGAUCUGCGGUGGGUACGGGCAGACUAGAGUGAUGUAGGGGAGACUGGAAUUCCUGGUGUAGCGGUGAAAUGCGCAGAUAUCAGGAGGAACACCGAUGGCGAAGGCAGGUCUCUGGGCAUUAACUGACGCUGAGGAGCGAAAGCAUGGGGAGCGAACAGGAUUAGAUACCCUGGUAGUCCAUGCCGUAAACGUUGGGCACUAGGUGUGGGGGACAUUCCACGUUUUCCGCGCCGUAGCUAACGCAUUAAGUGCCCCGCCUGGGGAGUACGGCCGCAAGGCUAAAACUCAAAGGAAUUGACGGGGGCCCGCACAAGCGGCGGAGCAUGCGGAUUAAUUCGAUGCAACGCGAAGAACCUUACCAAGGCUUGACAUGAACCGGUAAGACCUGGAAACAGGUCCCCCACUUGUGGCCGGUUUACAGGUGGUGCAUGGUUGUCGUCAGCUCGUGUCGUGAGAUGUUGGGUUAAGUCCCGCAACGAGCGCAACCCUCGUUCCAUGUUGCCAGCGCGUUAUGGCGGGGACUCAUGGGAGACUGCCGGGGUCAACUCGGAGGAAGGUGGGGACGACGUCAAAUCAUCAUGCCCCUUAUGUCUUGGGCUUCACGCAUGCUACAAUGGCCGGUACAAAGGGUUGCGAUACUGUGAGGUGGAGCUAAUCCCAAAAAGCCGGUCUCAGUUCGGAUUGGGGUCUGCAACUCGACCCCAUGAAGUCGGAGUCGCUAGUAAUCGCAGAUCAGCAACGCUGCGGUGAAUACGUCCCCGGGCCUUGUACACACCGCCCGUCAAGUCACGAAAGUUGGUAACACCCGAAGCCGGUGGCCUAACCCCUUGUGGGAGGGAGCUGUCGAAAGUGGGACUGGCGAUUGGGACUAAGUCGUAACAAGGUAAC
This 970-nucleotide ribosomal RNA is filed under the name uncultured bacterium. RNAcentral describes it as "bacterial SSU rRNA". It matches the Rfam family "Bacterial small subunit ribosomal RNA", at positions 536 to 1500 of the family's 1533-position model. The record is from RNAcentral.